GAUGAACGCUGACAGAAUGCUUAACACAUGCAAGUCUUUGGCGAAGCUGUGCUUGCACAGCCUAGCCAAGGCGGACGGGUGAGUAACGCGUAAGGAACUUGCCCUGCAGUCAGGGAUAACAGACGGAAACGACUGAUAAGACCUGGUAAAGUCAGGCGGACUCAUGUCCAGCCUGAUGAAAAGAGAUGCUGCAGGAGAGCCUUGCGUCCUAUUAGCUUGUUGGUGGGGUAACGGCCCACCAAGGCGAUGAUAGGUAGCCGGCCUGAGAGGGUGGACGGCCACAAGGGGACUGAGAUACGGCCCUUACUCCUACGGGAGGCAGCAGUGGGGAAUAUUGGACAAUGGGGGCAACCCUGAUCCAGCAAUUCUGUGUGCACGAUGAAGGUUUUCGGAUUGUAAAGUGCUUUCAGCGGGGAAGAAAAAAUGACGGUACCUGCAGAAGAAGCGACGGCUAAAUACGUG
Molecule: ribosomal RNA, 462 nt
Filed under: uncultured bacterium
Lineage: Bacteria
Description: partial 16S ribosomal RNA
Rfam family: Bacterial small subunit ribosomal RNA
Source: RNAcentral